ACUAUUGAAUAUUAUCUAGACUAUUUAAACUGUCAUAAAAUUAAAUUUUAUAUUUUUUCGAUAUUAUUCUCUUGACUAUCAAGCGGACACAAAAAACAAACAAUUGAAAAUGAAUAAAAUGUCACAAAAUUAAUAGUUUUUAACAGCUGGUAUGAAAUACUUGCUAGUUUAACGGUAUAAAAGAAUCAAAAUAGAUUAAAUUUUUGAUAGAAAAUUUUAUUCACUACCUAGAUAAAGAUCAAUAUCUUAUAAGAGUACAGUAGCCCUAGCCCUACUCUCUCUCUCUCUCUCUCUCUCUCUCUCUCUCUCUCUAGAUAUAUAGAACUAGGCCGGUAUACUAUCGGUAGCAUGGAGGCCUCCGUGCUACUAAAUUAUUUUCGAUGAUGCGGCUUUCAAAUCAACGAUCGGCUUCACUAGACUUAAUGUACACUCUUGAAAAUAUUUGAAAACGAAAUUUCAUAAUUUUUCGACAUUAUUUAGCUAGUGAUCAAAAUGUCUCAAAAAUGAUAAUUUGAUGACCGAUGUGAGCGUUUGUGAAUUUAACGGUGUAAAACAAUCCAAAUCUGAUGAAAUUUUUAUAAAUUUUUUUUUUUAGUAUUUAGAGUAAGAUCGGUAGCUCUGGUUUUAAAUUCAAGUCUUUUAUCAUCAGUUUUUAUGAGAUUUUUAUAGUCAGCGCUUUCAUCUUUAGACUACUCGUUUGAUAGGUAAAUGAUGUCGAAAACUUAUAAAAUUUAGUUUCCAAAUACUUUCAAUAGUGUAGAUCAAGUCUAACGAAGCCGAUCGUUGAUUUCGAAGCCGCAU
This 801-nucleotide long non-coding RNA is filed under the name Ananas comosus (pineapple). Its description in RNAcentral is "long non-coding RNA (ACOM_LNC020949)". Lineage: Eukaryota; Viridiplantae; Streptophyta; Magnoliopsida; Poales; Bromeliaceae. The record is from RNAcentral.